AUUCUUUGAUGUCCAGUCCGUUCUAUCAUCAAUUCUCGCAUCAAUUACUGGUACCACGAAUUCACUUCAAUUUCUUGUUAAUUUUAUUUUCAAAAAUAUUUUUAGUAUUUAGUGCUUUCAAAAAUGUGUAUUUAUUUAAAAUCAGACAAAUAUUCUCCACAUAAUCAUUUUACCGAAUUUGUUCUAAUAUGCUUAAAGUAAAUAUGUGAAGGAACUUUACCUCCCAUUCAUUACAGAGUGUGUAUUGUUUUGGUAGUAAUUUUCGAUGUCAUUCAGUGCCCGGGGCGCAUCACAUUCCAGUGUAUACUAUACACAAGCUGAAACUCCGCCCCUCUGUUGGUUGCAAAUGUCAAUCUUAAUUCCAAUGGUUGAGCAAACUUUCACACACAAAGCAAGCAAGCCAAACAAAUAAUUGUCUUGCUAGCAUUAAUGUAAAAGCUGUAAA
Molecule: long non-coding RNA, 445 nt
Filed under: Mytilus galloprovincialis (Mediterranean mussel)
Lineage: Eukaryota; Metazoa; Mollusca; Bivalvia; Mytilida; Mytilidae
Source: RNAcentral